AGGGGAAGAGGGCGAGGGAGAGCUCACCGGCGAUGGUGGAGCUCUCGCCGGUUCUCACUGAUGAAGGAGUUUCCGGCGCUGCUAGAGAGAAGAAAAGAAACAGUUUUCAAAAUAGGGUUUGGUCUUUUAGUGUUAAAAUAGGAAAGAUGGAAACUUUGAUCUUGACCAUUGGAUCAGUUUAGAUGAGCGGCUAGGAUUGAUCUAGGGUUUAAUUUAAAGGAUGGACGGUUGAGAUUAAAAGAGAAUUAAAUCUGAUUUCGGAAUAAGAAUAGGCUAAAAUUCAAACUAAAAUUGAUAUAAGAGGUUAUAAUUGAAAAACGAAAUUGGAUUGAGGUGGCUGGAAUUGAAAUGGAUUAGAAUAGAAUAGGCUAACAUUUAAAUAAUUUUGAGGGAAUUUAAAGAAAUGCUAUCCAAUUAAAAUACUACAAAAUAUUUAAAAUACUUAAAUUUUUAAACAUUUGAAUUAUUUCGAGUUUUACUAAUAUUUAUAGUAUUCACAAUAAUUUUUAUAAAACAUGCAUAAUAAAUAUAUAAUUUUUAGACAAAAUUAAUUAAAAUUUUAAACCUAAAAUAUGUUUUAAAAAUACGUAUUUAAUCGAAUAGCACUCCCGAAAGUGUUAAAGGUCGGUCAAAAUUGGGUGUCAACAAUUGUUCCUUGGUUGCUUGAGAAUGAAGAUGAAUUGUCGGGCAACCAAUGUUGACUUAGUAGCCGAUUUUUUCCGACCUACGAGAGAUGUCAGUGGGAUCAAUUGAAAUGGCAUAGAGUUGAAAGAGGUACGACUGAGACUUUGGUAUUAAG
RNAcentral lists this long non-coding RNA (799 nucleotides) under Solanum tuberosum (potato). Its description in RNAcentral is "long non-coding RNA (STUB_LNC006503)". Lineage: Eukaryota; Viridiplantae; Streptophyta; Magnoliopsida; Solanales; Solanaceae. The record is from RNAcentral.